RNAcentral lists this ribosomal RNA (481 nucleotides) under uncultured bacterium. Its description in RNAcentral is "partial 16S ribosomal RNA". It matches the Rfam family "Bacterial small subunit ribosomal RNA", at positions 28 to 507 of the family's 1533-position model. The record is from RNAcentral.
GAUGAACGCUGGCGGCGUGCUUAACACAUGCAAGUCGAACGAAGCACUUUAUUUGAUUUCCUUCGGGACUGAUUAUUUUGUGACUGAGUGGCGGACGGGUGAGUAACGCGCGGGUAACCUGCCUUGUACAGGGGGAUAACAGUUGGAAACGGCUGCUAAUACCGCAUAAGCGCACAGCAUCGCAUGAUGCAGUGUGAAAAACUCCGGUGGUAUAAGAUGGACCCGCGUUGGAUUAGCUAGUUGGUGAGGUAACGGCCCACCAAGGCGACGAUCCAUAGCCGACCUGAGAGGGUGACCGGCCACAUUGGGACUGAGACACGGCCCAAACUCCUACGGGAGGCAGCAGUGGGGAAUAUUGCACAAUGGGCGAAAGCCUGAUGCAGCGACGCCGCGUGAGCGAAGAAGUAUUUCGGUAUGUAAAGCUCUAUCAGCAGGGAAGAUAAUGACGGUACCUGACUAAGAAGCACCGGCUAAAUACGUG